Molecule: non-coding RNA, 107 nt
Organism: Gossypium hirsutum (cotton)
Lineage: Eukaryota; Viridiplantae; Streptophyta; Magnoliopsida; Malvales; Malvaceae
Source: Rfam
AUUCCGUGAUGAGGGCAUUUCUGUAAUAGUUCUUUGUAUCAUUCCCAUGCCUUAUAUAAGGACUCAUCAUCCAUUUAUUAGAAGGCGGUGAUCUCGUUCCUCUAACU